Molecule: long non-coding RNA, 4115 nt
Organism: Cucumis sativus (cucumber)
Lineage: Eukaryota; Viridiplantae; Streptophyta; Magnoliopsida; Cucurbitales; Cucurbitaceae
Exons: 2
Source: RefSeq, a predicted model, not a curated record
ACUGCCUUCCCUUAGGGCUAUCAGAUGCCCAUCAUCCUUCACAUUUCUAUUCCUUCUCACGUCGCCGUUUUUCCUAUUUCGCUUUUCCGAUCCUUUAUCUUACUCCUCUUCUUCAAUCCCUCUCACCUUGAACAAUAGAGGUUGAAAAGGCAGGGAUUGUGUGUAUCGGCGUAGUGCUAAUUUCAGUGCACUCUGUUCCGAAAGUAUUCCCUGCGACAUCAAUCUUGAAGGGGGGAAGGUGGGCAGUUGUGAUUCAUCUCCAUUGAAUUUUCAACAAUCAUCUUCCCUACAUUGCAUUUAUUCUUCCUCUUUUGAUUAUCGGUUCCUCCAAUCGAAUCCUAAGUUUCUUUUUAUCUGAAAAAUCGGUUCUUGAUUUGGAUUUUCUUUAUUCCCAUAUUUUCUGAUGAACUCUUUCGUAAUGCCCAAGAUUGGUUGCUUAAUGAAACGUGAUUUUGUGAUUGUUGUAGAUUAAUUUUAUUUUCACUCUAUCUGUUGAUUGAUAGAGUUGAUCUGUGAUAUAUACUUCAUGAGGUGUCUGUUUCGUUAUGAUCUGCGAAAUGUUAGGGAUGACUACGUUAGAUUAUCAAAGUUCGAUGCUUAAGUGGACAUUUAAUUGUAAAUCAAUUUUAGGCAAAAGUCCAAUAUGAUAACAGCAACCAUAUGGUUUUGUUUAUAAUUUGAUUGAGUCAUCCAAGCAAAAAAUACUGAGUUUUUUUUACAACAAACCUCUGACUUCGAUGCUUUUGCAUCCGAAACUGUCGAUUUUGUUCUUUGUUUAACAAUUAUUAUUCCUAACAGUACUGUUGAUUGUGAUUUUGUUUUGACAAUACCCUGUUUCAUAUCAGUUCUAUUGGCAGAUCAAAAUAAAGGUCCCCGUCCUCAUGAACUACCACACUUAAUAGCCUUUAUAGGUGUGGAGGAUGAUGAUCAAACAAUAAUUCUGCUUCCAAUCAUUAGACAAUUAACAAAGCAUUAGGAUGGGGAAGGAAGACAAUUAAUUAACAAAGCAUUAGAUGUGGGGAAGGAAGACAAUUAACAAAGCAUUAGAUGGGGAUGGAAGACAUUUAACAAAGAAUUAGAAUAUAAAUGGAUUACAAGCUUACCCUAGAUAGAAAGCUUUUUCUCCCAAGUAGUUGAUACUUGAUUCCACUAGACCCUUAUAUAUCAUGUACAUGUAUAGAUUGUUUCUACCAAUGCAGUCUAAAAGCUUCCCCUAAAUGUUAUAUUCUAAUUUCUUAAUCAAUGUUGUUAAUUCACCAAAUUUGUGCACUUGCUAGGUUAAUUCAUCUACUUUGAUUUUUGUUACCUCAAAAAUAGUAAAACACACCCCAGCCACAAAUAACUAACAACCAACUAAAAGAACAUUAAAUGGGUGUGAAGUAACAAAUCUGAAUAUUUUUAUUAUUGUUUUCUUUUAGACAAACAGAUUACAGCAAAGGAGCAAAAGGAGCAUUAAGCAUUUAAAAAGCUUCAAACAAUACUCAAGUCUCAUAUUUUAUUUAGGAUAUAUACUCACUCGUAUGUAAGUUUCAUGCUAUAUCAUUAGUUGCUAGGCAUGAUGAACGUCAUGGUGAGUUAUAUUUAAAGUGUCAUGAUAAACUUAUAUGAACUUUAUGGUAAAGUUAUGUUUGAAGUGACAUAAUGAAGUUAUUUAAAAUUAAGAAAGAACAAAGAAAAAGAGUGCAUUCUAAUCUUUUCAAAAUGCUUUAUUUCUAGAACAAAUGUUUGCAUAUUUCUUUAUCUCAAACGUGUUUCAUAUGAUUUAUGAAUAUUAGUCAAUUAAUAUACCAAAUAUAAAUUAUUUCAACGGUUGAUUAUAUAUAUUAUGCAUAUAGAUUAUAUUAUAUAUACUUUAUUCAAAUCAACUUCACUGUUUUAAUCUUUGUUUCCUUAUCUGUAUUCUCAAAUUUUUGAAAAACCACUGCUAAAUAUGCAAAUUUUUGAAAAACUACUGCUAAAUAUACAAAUUUAAUGCACUAUAUUUAUAAUUAUUAUUUCAAUUAUUUUGAUAUUCCUUGAGGCCACUAUCAUUUUAAUUGCACUAUCAUUUUAAUUGCAAGGUGGAAAGAUAAAGUGAAAAGAGAUAGUUGUAAAUUUAGCAAUUAAAUUUAAAAUAAUUAAGUAUAUAAUAAUAUUUUUAAAAAAUUGUAAAUAUAGCAAAAUUUUAUUAAUGAUAGAGUCAGAUCAUAGGAGAUACAAGUUGCUAUAUUUACAAAAAAAUUAAAUAUUGCUACAUCCUUAAUUAUUAUUCUUCAAUGAUCAUUCGUUACAAUUAAUCCGUAUUGAAAAAGAAAAAAGAAGGCCCAUUCUAAUAUUUCAAAAUGCUUUAUUUUAUUUAUAAAAAAAACCAUGUUUGCAUAUUUGUGUGCCUAAAAUGUGUCUCACAUCAAGAUCAAGUAUACCAUAUUUUAUAUUUAGAAAGUAUCAUAUAUUUUAUUAUAUUUUCAAAAGUAUAUAUUGUAUAUACGAAAUAACAUUUCAAAGAGUAUUUACUAAAUUCAAAGAGUAUCGCAAAUUUCAACUAUCACAUACUCUAUCUUUCCUACUCAGAAAAAUAAAAUAUGCUGUUUUUAAAUAUGUCAUAAAUAUCCUUAUUAUUCUUGGAAAAUUUAAGGUAAUUUUCCAAUAAUAAUAAUGUUUAAGUUUACAGGUUACCACAUUCUAUAUAAAAUAAUCCAUACUCUAUUUUAUAUUUUGUAUUUCCAAUAACAAUAGAAUAAAAAGAAGUUAAACUAACAAAAAAAAACUAUAUACAUCAGGGAAAGAAUUUUAAACUUCAAUUAAAAAUCUUCCAACAUUCAAAAGAUCCUUCAAUUAAUGAAGAUUUUGGAGUAAGAAAAACUCUGAAAAUAUUAACACUCUACUCCUAUACAUCAUAUAUAUUAAGUAUAUGGAUUAUAGAGUGAACCACGUGCUAGCAUAAACAAAAAUAAAACAAUUUUAACUUCAUGAAAUAUGUUUCUUUAAAAAUCUCGUAAUAAUAUAAUUGUAUAUUAAAUACAAAUUUAAAAUCUGAAUGUUGGUAAGUUUAAUAGAGUUGUUAGUAUAAAACUGUAGAUUUAAUUGAUCAAAUGUUGGCUAUUUUAUAUAACCUACAAAGUUUUAUUUUUUAUCUUUUGGUGUAUUGGGUCACAAUUUUAGUAAUUGCAAGCACAAAAUCUAUAUAGCAUGUUUCUGAAAAGAAAACAAAAGUUUGUGAAAUCACCAUCUACUGAAUUAAAAAAAAACAGGCUGAAAAACAAGUAUAUUAAACACAAGUUCGAAAAAUAGUUAGGAUGAAUGAUCGGAUAACUAAGGUCGGCUGUUUUUGAAGAAUAUUCAACCCAUAUUGUCUUGUAUUUGUGCCGACAAGUGUGUCGAAUAUUGAGUGAUUCUUUAGAUCUCAUUGAUUUGUUCUGAAGAGUGUUGUUUUGUGGCGGUUGAAGUUUCACUGGGAGGGAGUCCCACACUUAGAGGGAGCAUAAGUGAUUGUUCUCUAAGUUGUGCUAUAUUCAAGUGUCUUUAAAAUUAUCGUAUUUAUAGAUAAGUACAUCGUUAUAAUUGCUUGAAUUUAUACUAGCGGAUGUAUCUUUCCACGAGCAAUGCUUUAAGACUAGGUGGUAUUGCAGCAAACUAGGUUACCAAACUAUCUUCUCACAUUUGUGAUGUUUUGGAAAAUGAUGUAACAUGUAUGUAACAAGUUAAGUCGUGUGUUAGAUAACCUAGUUCUCUUCGUGCGUCCUAUGAUUUUUAUUUUUGUCCAUGUCAAACCAUCAACACUUGAAUAACCAAGCACGUCGUCCAAAUGGAUAUUGAACGUGCAACACUUUGCCCAAAACACCGUAAAAACUGUUGUUCACACUGCCUCCACUACCUUUUUCGAUUACCAUGACUCCACUGUUUUGUGUUGUACGUCGGGAAUCACGCUCCAACAUGUGAAAUCGUACACCAUUGACAAUGCAUCCACUGUAAGAGCGGACAACAAGUGAUAGUCCCAUUGCGAGUGAAAAUAAAUCUUGAGAAAUGUUUGAAUUUUCACGCAUUUCUGCCAUAACCUGAAAUUGGGUUUAGCAUAAAAGUACUUAUAUGUAUAAAAUAUAUAUAAAGUAGAAAUGUUUGAAGUCAUUUACUCGAAA